GAUGAACGCUGGCGGCGUGCCUAAUACAUGCAAGUCGAGCGAACAGACGAGGAGCUUGCUCCUCUGACGUUAGCGGCGGACGGGUGAGUAACACGUGGAUAACCUACCUAUAAGACUGGGAUAACUUCGGGAAACCGGAGCUAAUACCGGAUAAUAUAUUGAACCGCAUGGUUCAAUAGUGAAAGACGGUUUUGCUGUCACUUAUAGAUGGAUCCGCGCCGCAUUAGCUAGUUGGUAAGGUAACGGCUUACCAAGGCAACGAUGCGUAGCCGACCUGAGAGGGUGAUCGGCCACACUGGAACUGAGGCACGGUCCAGACUCCUACGGGAGGCAGCAGUAGGGAAUCUUCCUCAAUGGGCGAAAGCCUGACGGAGCAACGCCGCGUGAGUGAUGAAGGUCUUCGGAUCGUAAAACUCUGUUAUUAGGGAAGAACAAAUGUGUAAGUAACUAUGCACGUCUUGACGGUACCUAAUCAGAAAGCCACGGCUAACUACGUG
This 497-nucleotide ribosomal RNA is filed under the name uncultured bacterium. Its description in RNAcentral is "partial 16S ribosomal RNA". It matches the Rfam family "Bacterial small subunit ribosomal RNA", at positions 28 to 507 of the family's 1533-position model. The record is from RNAcentral.